This 292-nucleotide ribosomal RNA is filed under the name uncultured bacterium. Its description in RNAcentral is "partial 16S ribosomal RNA". It matches the Rfam family "Bacterial small subunit ribosomal RNA", at positions 505 to 796 of the family's 1533-position model. The record is from RNAcentral.
GUGCCAGCCGCCGCGGUAAUACGGAGGGUGCAAGCGUUGUCCGGAAUCACUGGGCGUAAAGGGUACGCAGGCGGGGCAGCAAGUCGGAGGUGAAAGCCCGUGGCUCAACCACGGAACUGCCUCCAAAACUACUGGUCUAGAGUUCGAGAGAGGUGAGUGGAAUUCCGAGUGUAGAGGUGAAAUUCGUAGAUAUUCGGAGGAACACCAGUGGCGAAGGCGGCUCACUGGCUCGAUACUGACGCUGAGGUGCGAAAGUGUGGGGAGCAAACAGGAUUAGAAACCCCAGUAGUCC